This 1692-nucleotide ribosomal RNA is filed under the name Escherichia coli. Its description in RNAcentral is "partial 23S ribosomal RNA". It matches the Rfam family "Bacterial large subunit ribosomal RNA", at positions 1270 to 2925 of the family's 2925-position model. The record is from RNAcentral. Lineage: Bacteria; Pseudomonadati; Pseudomonadota; Gammaproteobacteria; Enterobacterales; Enterobacteriaceae.
AUGCUGGAGGUAUCAGAAGUGCGAAUGCUGACAUAAGUAACGAUAAAGCGGGUGAAAAGCCCGCUCGCCGGAAGACCAAGGGUUCCUGUCCAACGUUAAUCGGGGCAGGGUGAGUCGACCCCUAAGGCGAGGCCGAAAGGCGUAGUCGAUGGGAAACAGGUUAAUAUUCCUGUACUUGGUGUUACUGCGAAGGGGGGACGGAGAAGGCUAUGUUGGCCGGGCGACGGUUGUCCCGGUUUAAGCGUGUAGGCUGGUUUUCCAGGCAAAUCCGGAAAAUCAAGGCUGAGGCGUGAUGACGAGGCACUACGGUGCUGAAGCAACAAAUGCCCUGCUUCCAGGAAAAGCCUCUAAGCAUCAGGUAACAUCAAAUCGUACCCCAAACCGACACAGGUGGUCAGGUAGAGAAUACCAAGGCGCUUGAGAGAACUCGGGUGAAGGAACUAGGCAAAAUGGUGCCGUAACUUCGGGAGAAGGCACGCUGAUAUGUAGGUGAAGUCCCUCGCGGAUGGAGCUGAAAUCAGUCGAAGAUACCAGCUGGCUGCAACUGUUUAUUAAAAACACAGCACUGUGCAAACACGAAAGUGGACGUAUACGGUGUGACGCCUGCCCGGUGCCGGAAGGUUAAUUGAUGGGGUCAGCGCAAGCGAAGCUCUUGAUCGAAGCCCCGGUAAACGGCGGCCGUAACUAUAACGGUCCUAAGGUAGCGAAAUUCCUUGUCGGGUAAGUUCCGACCUGCACGAAUGGCGUAAUGAUGGCCAGGCUGUCUCCACCCGAGACUCAGUGAAAUUGAACUCGCUGUGAAGAUGCAGUGUACCCGCGGCAAGACGGAAAGACCCCGUGAACCUUUACUAUAGCUUGACACUGAACAUUGAGCCUUGAUGUGUAGGAUAGGUGGGAGGCUUAGAAGUGUGGACGCCAGUCUGCAUGGAGCCGACCUUGAAAUACCACCCUUUAAUGUUUGAUGUUCUAACGUUGACCCGUGAUCCGGGUUGCGGACAGUGUCUGGUGGGUAGUUUGACUGGGGCGGUCUCCUCCUAAAGAGUAACGGAGGAGCACGAAGGUUGGCUAAUCCUGGUCGGACAUCAGGAGGUUAGUGCAAUGGCAUAAGCCAGCUUGACUGCGAGCGUGACGGCGCGAGCAGGUGCGAAAGCAGGUCAUAGUGAUCCGGUGGUUCUGAAUGGAAGGGCCAUCGCUCAACGGAUAAAAGGUACUCCGGGGAUAACAGGCUGAUACCGCCCAAGAGUUCAUAUCGACGGCGGUGUUUGGCACCUCGAUGUCGGCUCAUCACAUCCUGGGGCUGAAGUAGGUCCCAAGGGUAUGGCUGUUCGCCAUUUAAAGUGGUACGCGAGCUGGGUUUAGAACGUCGUGAGACAGUUCGGUCCCUAUCUGCCGUGGGCGCUGGAGAACUGAGGGGGGCUGCUCCUAGUACGAGAGGACCGGAGUGGACGCAUCACUGGUGUUCGGGUUGUCAUGCCAAUGGCACUGCCCGGUAGCUAAAUGCGGAAGAGAUAAGUGCUGAAAGCAUCUAAGCACGAAACUUGCCCCGAGAUGAGUUCUCCCUGACCCUUUAAGGGUCCUGAAGGAACGUUGAAGACGACGACGUUGAUAGGCCGGGUGUGUAAGCGCAGCGAUGCGUUGAGCUAACCGGUACUAAUGAACCGUGAGGCUUAACCUUACAACGCCGAAGCUGUU